GGAGGUGCGGCUGCGGCGAAGGGGUGGCCAUGGCAGAGCCCGCGCGGGAGGAGCUUUCCGCCCUGGCCGCGAUUUUCUGCGGGCCCGACGAGUGGGAAGUGCUGAGUAGCUCAGAGACAGAUGGGACGGUGUUCAGAAUUCUCACAAAAGCCGAAGGACUUAUGGGUGCGGAUGUACCUUUAGAGUUGGUGUUCCAUUUGCCGGUCAAUUACCCUUCGUGUCUACCUGGUAUCUCGGUACACUCCGAGCACCUGACCCGGGCCCAGUCCGUGACUGUGAAAGAGAAGUUACUUCAGCAAGCAGAGAACCUUUUGUCGGAACCUAUGGUUCAUGAGCUGGUUCUCUGGAUUCAGCAGAAUCUCAGGCAUGUCCUCAACCAAUCAGACACUGGAAGUGGCAGUACUUUUGCAACAGGCAUGACUGUGGAUGAUGGACUGUGGCUAACUCUUUUGCGUUUAGAUCACAUGAGAGCAAAGACCAAAUAUGUCAAAACUGUUGAGAAGUGGGCUUCCGAUUUAAAGCUGACAGGAAGACUUAUGUUCAUGGGUAAAAUAAUACUGAUUUUACUACAAGGAGACAGAAGCAAUAUCAAGGAGUACCUGAUUCUUCAGAAAACCUCCAGAGUAGAUGUGGACUCAAGUGGAAAGAAAUGCAAAGAGAAAAUGAUUAGCGUACUGUUUGAAACAAAAGUACAGAGAGAACACAAAAGGUUUCUGGCAUUUGAAGUCAAAGAGUAUUCAUCGUUGGAUGAGUUACAAAAGGAAUUUGAAACUGCAGGACUUGAGAAGCUUUUCUCUGAAUUUGUGCUCGGGCUGCUAAGAUGAAAUGGGAGACAGGAAUCUUUUACCUGAGGUACUAACAGAAAGAUAAUUAGGACUUCCAGAAGACAGAAGAGGUGAGGCCAAGAGCUGGGACCCCUGAAGGACUACACUGUAAGAAAGAGCCCACUGAGCAAGCACUGGAAUGCUAGUGAGAGAGAGUGACUGACGUCUAUAGGAAACACUCUAGACUGGAAUGGUCAUUGCUGAAGCAAAUUGUGAAGAACCGUCCAUAUCCCAGGCCUGAGUUCUGUCUUCCUCGGUUAACAAGUUACAGGGGAAUUCUGAAUGUCCAGAGGCCUUGUAAGGGACACUGACCACCCAGAUCAUGGCAAGCCUCAGGGCCUAGAGGGGCACACUCUUUCUGGAACACUAACAGCCAGCCAUUGGGAGACCUUGCCAGAAACCAGUGGGUAGACCGACUAACACAGCACUUCUGCACUGGUGUUGUGAAUGAUGUGUGAUCUUGCGUUCAGGAAUUCAACUUAACAUUUUAUUACUACCAGGCCCAACCCUACCCAGCUUCUAAGAUCAGGUGAGUCAGGGUGGAAUGGCUGCAGACAUUUUUUUAGCUCCUCUAUUGCUCUCCAUUCCCCCCAGAUGAAUUUGUGUGUGCUCUUCUAUUUUCUUUCCUGAAAUACUCUUGCUUGGGCCACCAGACACCUCCUAGGAGCAGCAUCCAAUAAUUUUUAGGCAGUAUCCGGAUAGGUAGUGAAAGAUCCUUGACAAAUAAUGUGUUUGGAAUUUAGACCAGAGUUGCCAAAACUUUUUCUGUAAAGAACAAAAUAGUAAAUAGUUUAAGCUUCUCAGGCCACGUGAUCUCUCUCCCAACUACUUUGCCAAUGUAGUGCUAAAGCAGCCACUGAGAAGAUCUAAAUAAAUGGGCAGGACUGUGUUCCAAUACAACAUUACUGAUGGACACUGAGAUUUGAAUUUCACAUAAUUUUUAUGUGUCAUAAAGUAUUCUUUUCCUUUGUUUCCACACUUAAAAAGUGUAAAAACCAUUCUCAGCUCAUGGGUUGUAGAAAAUCAGGGGCAGGUGGAAUGUGGGCCACAGGUUAUAGUGGGCAGACCACUUCUUCAGACAGACCUGAGUUUACAGAGCAGCUCUAUUAGCUACUGGCUUUGUCUCCUUGGGUAAAUUAGUUUACUUCUCUGCGUUUCAGUUUUGUCAGUA
RNA transcript from Ailuropoda melanoleuca (giant panda), 1995 nucleotides. It is a transcript of the gene named RWD domain containing 3, with no coding region annotated. The transcript is spliced from 11 exons. Lineage: Eukaryota; Metazoa; Chordata; Mammalia; Carnivora; Ursidae. The record is from RefSeq and is a predicted model, not a curated record.